AUGGUCUCCAGCCAGAAGAUGACGAACAGGAACCAGACCGACGACAGCAGCAGCUCACACACCAUCCUGACACCUACACACACACACCAACAUCUUCAUCAUCAUCCUGACACCUACACACACACACACCAACAUCUUCAUCAUCAUCCUGACACCUACACACACCCACAACACCUUCAUCAUCAUCAUCUUCAUCAUCAUCAUCCUAACACCUACACACACCAACAACAUCUUCAUCAUCAUCAUCAUCAUCAUCACCACCCCAACACCCACACACAACACCAGCAUCAUCAUCAUCAUCAUCAUCAUCCUGACACCUACACCCACCAACAACAUCUUCAUCAUCAUCAUCAUCAUCAUCACCACCCCAACACCCACACACAACACCAGCAUCAUCAUCAUCAUCAUCAUCAUCCUGACACCUACACCCACCAACAACAUCUUCAUCAUCAUCAUCAUCAUCACCACCACCCCAACACCUACACACAACACCAGCAUCAUCAUCAUCAUCAUCAUCAUCCUGACACCUACACCCACCAACAACAUCUUCAUCAUCAUCAUCAUCAUCACCACCACCCCAACACCUACACACAACACCAGCAUCAUCAUCAUCAUCAUCAUCAUCCUAACACCUACACACAACACCAGCAUCUUCAUCAUCAUCAUCAUCAUCCUGACACCUACACACACCAACAACAUCUUCAUCAUCAUCAUCAUCAUCAUCAUCAUCCUAACACCUACACACAACACCAGCAUCUUCAUCAUCAUCAUCAUCCUAACACCUACACACAAAACCAACAUCUUCAUCAUCAUCAGAUCUACACACACAACAUCUUCAUCAUCCCUGUGUCUAAGAACAAUAACUCCUCUUGUCUGAAUGACUAUCGUCCAGUUGUCCUCACAUCAAUAGUCAUGAAGGUCUUCGAGGGACUGGUUAAAAACUACAUUUGCUCCUCCAUCCCGGAUACUUUGGACCCUCUUCAGUUUGCCCUUCAUCGCCCCAACAGAUCCACUGAUGAUGCCAUCUCUCACAUCCUGCACUCUUCUCUCACACACAUUGACAGCAAUAACAGGAACUAUGUAAGGCUGCUAUUCAUCGACUAUAGCUCAGCUUUCAAUACUAUAGUCCCCAUCACGCUAGCUUCUAAACUCACGGACCUCGGCCUGAAUAUGCAACUGGAUUCUUGA
This is a long non-coding RNA of Cyprinus carpio (common carp), 1188 nucleotides long. NCBI's taxonomy places the organism in Eukaryota, Metazoa, Chordata, Actinopteri, Cypriniformes, Cyprinidae. The record is from Ensembl.